CAGCAGCCACGGUAAUACGAAGGGUGCAAGCGUUAAUCGGAAUUACUGGGCGUAAAGCGUGCGUAGGCGGUUUGUUAAGUCUGCUGUGAAAUCCCCGGGCUCAACCUGGGAAUGGCAGUGGAUACUGGCAAGCUAGAGUGUGUCAGAGGAUGGUGGAAUUCCCGGUAUAGCGGCGAAAUGCGUAGAGAUCGGGAGGAACAUCAGUGGCGAAGGCGGCCAUCUGGGACAACACUGACGCUGAGGCACGAAAGCGUGGGAAGCAAACAGGAUUAGAUACCCCAGUAGUCCCUGUCUCUUAUAA
This 301-nucleotide ribosomal RNA is filed under the name uncultured bacterium. RNAcentral describes it as "partial 16S ribosomal RNA". It matches the Rfam family "Bacterial small subunit ribosomal RNA", at positions 509 to 809 of the family's 1533-position model. The record is from RNAcentral.